RNAcentral lists this long non-coding RNA (2830 nucleotides) under Anas zonorhyncha (Eastern spot-billed duck). Its description in RNAcentral is "lncRNA (ENSAZOG00000004291.1)". The record is from RNAcentral. Lineage: Eukaryota; Metazoa; Chordata; Aves; Anseriformes; Anatidae.
CACAAAUGGAGCUUUCCCUGCUGGAGGCACAUUGCAGUUCCCCCUUGGAAAAAAGAAAGUUUAAGAAGCAGUCUCUCCGCAGGAGCCUUUAAUGUUAUUUUCAAAGGCUGAGGUUUGAAACUGAAAGGCGCUUUGGUUUCCAGGGUAUUGCCAACGGGGCUGAAAUUACAUUGCCACAGCCAAGGAAGGUCGUUCAUGUUUAGUCAGCUCUGCUGUCACCAGGGCUCUGCCUCUUAACUUUGCUGGCCUGUCAUAGACAGGGUAAGGGCACAUCAUUUUUGUACUUUGCUAUAUAGCAUGGACACAAGUCUGGAAGGUCUGCAAAACUCUUUUUUUUUUUUUUCCAUCAGGUUUCAUUCAGUCUGCAUUUUUUCUGCUGCUGUGAAUUUCCCAGUCUCAUGGAAUAUCAAAUCGUUCGGAGAUACUGAUUCUGUUCCUGUUCAUAAAGGAGGACUUAUGCAUGAGGCUGAAAUUUCUGAUAUCAGAGGAGAGAGGCUGGUUUGGAGCAGAGGACUGGAGUGGAUAACCAAGUUGCUCAGAAUACCCCCAGAGCUGCCAGCAGCACGUCUUUAAUCUCUCUGUGAUGGAUCUCUUCUGAAAACUUGAUCUGCUGCCGCCUUGACCUGAGUAGCUCACAUCCCGGCAGCAUCCGCUUCUGGGAAUCCCGGCAACAUCUCUGCUUCAUUUCGGUAGUGAACAUACACCAGAACCGAUGCUUCUGUAAAUGUUAUACUUAUGAUAUACAGUGUGCUAUAGAGAUGAUUUGCACAUGCUCAAUAAAUCCAUCAGUAUCCGUUUACCCAUGCAUACAUCACAGGCCUGGCAGUCCCAGAGGCACCGGGCUCAUUACAGGUGCAUGGCAGAGCUGAUCCACAUGUGGUCAGACAGGGCUGCUUGACAUCUGGAAAUGCCAGACAAAUUUACAAAAUCCUCCAUUUUUUUCCCCAAUGACAUUUGUGGGCAGGAAAGUGGGAUGUUGCCUCAUUCAUUCAUACCUGCCUACACUUGGAAGUAGGCCUAAAAAGGAAAAUGCAUUAGAAUAAGACAGAUUUUAGCUAUAUUUUCUGAAUGUUUUCAUAGUGCUUUGAAGGGGAGUAAGGAAAUGGAGUAUUAGUAGCUGCUUCCUUUGUUUCCAGAACUUCACAGAGGACUGAAUUUAAUACAAGAUGCUUAAGUAAUGUAACGACUUCUUAGCUCUGUGAAGGAACUCAGCAAAUAAAAUUCAGGGAAGUCAUGGAGUGCUUAAUGUCAGCAUGAUUGAUUGGAACAUUCUCCCAUAAAAUUCGGGUUCAUUAAACCAGAUUUUGGUGUUGGGAGAAUUAAGACAGGGCCUUAAUGUUGCUAUUGAUAGUCUCAAGUUUGAAAAUCUGCAUACCUGAAUGAAACUUCUCAGAGCUUAAACAGCGUCUGCAUCAAGACCUCUAGAAGGUUGCCUGGAGUCCAUAUGAGACUUAUUAAAUGCUGCUUGUAGUGGAGCCCAAUAUUCUUGGAACAUGAAGCAGCAGCUAAAUGGAAACUUUGGCUAUUACCAUAUUCAUGUUUCAUGCUAAAAUAUUUUUGAGAUCAAAGUUUCUGUUAUUAAAACAAUGGGUGUAAAAAUAACAAAACUACUUUUUGUAAAACAAACAGACUCUUUGUAUCUGAGAGGUUUUUCACAUAGAUCUGUAUUCUGAGAUGGUAAUACAUUGCAGAUUUUUUUUAUGCUAUACUACUUUGAUUCAUUCAUUAAAAUAUUUUUUAAUUUUGGCUUGUUGCAAAGGUCUAAAUAAAAGCAUUUUAGUUACAUAAAUACAGACUCUGUGGAUUCAACAGUAAUAUAGUACGUUUAGAAAACUGUCAUUUAUUCUGAAAAUAUACAAAGAGCAAGCCACAGACAGAAUUUUCUAUAUAUUGUAAACAUUCUCACAGUAUGGGUAUAAAUAUCCCUUCUUUGAUUCAUUGCAUGCCAGAUCUUCAAGUAAAGAGAUAGAAAAAGAAGCUAAAGGAAAGGGAUUAUAAAUUCAGCAGGAUGCUUAGAGGCAGCGAAAGCCAAACAAGAAAAGAGCUUGCAAAGUUUUAAGACGCUGUAUACAGACAGGACCGUAAAAUUAUAAUAACAAUACCAGAUAAUAUAAUCUCAUAUUUACAUCAUUUUCAGCUGCCAGGUCCCCUCGAGCUGUGGUGUAUUUAAGGAAUUGUUCUGGAGGCAGUGGGCUUUAUCUGCUGUUCCCUGGGUAAGUGGGGCAACUCUUGGAUCACUGAGAAAAGCUUAGGAACAGUUUAGUAGGGCUGGCAAAGAAGCUUUUCGGUAUGGUGCACUGAGGGUAGGUGUUUGCAGCCUGGCUAUGGUCCGGGGAAGGAGAGGGAGGAAGGUCUGGGCUCUGCCUGUCCCGCCACAGAUAAUAGGUUAAUAGGUUUUGGUGCCUUUUUUCCUUUUAAAAACACAUUUUCAUUGUCUUUUAAAGCCGGGUAAAAUGCACUGUUCUGUGCUCUGUCGAGUAAAUCCUGAAGCCUUUCUCAAGAUGAACUCCUCUUAGGAGACUUGUUUGCUCUUUUCCUGGCAGAGCUCCCAGCGCCUUGAUAGCAGUUUUAUCUGAGUAAAGCCUUGAGCAUUUGCAUGACACUGAAGAGCUAAAAUUAUCUUUAAAUGGAGCACAAAAAAUUGCCAAUAUGUAUUGUUCUAAAAAACAUUGCUCUUUGGUUGGCCCAGAGGGGACGUAUUGUAAAUAUGAUUUAAAGAUGUCUCUGCUACUACUGUCUGAUCUUAUCAUCAGAGGUUGCUGUGGAAUUUGUCUAUGCAGAUCCUAGAAAGGAAAAACAGAUUGAGAACAUUAGCUUGUGCUGUGAGAAA